This 204-nucleotide unclassified non-coding RNA is filed under the name Hevea brasiliensis (rubber tree). The record is from RNAcentral. Lineage: Eukaryota; Viridiplantae; Streptophyta; Magnoliopsida; Malpighiales; Euphorbiaceae.
GUUCAAAUAUUAAAUCUUCAUUGCUGCCUUGGAAUAACGGUUAGGAUGACUAGUUCACCUGAUCCACUAGGUACCCAACCCAAUUUGAUUUGAAUGGAUUUGGAUUUUAACGAAUCCGUUGAGUUGGUGAGGUGGGUAUGGGCAGUGAAGGUUCAACCUAAAUCAGGUUUGGGUCUGGGGAAUUUUUUUUUAUCCUUUAAUGUG